Molecule: long non-coding RNA, 1547 nt
Organism: Vespa crabro (European hornet)
Lineage: Eukaryota; Metazoa; Arthropoda; Insecta; Hymenoptera; Vespidae
Exons: 3
Source: RefSeq, a predicted model, not a curated record
UUACUAAGUCGGAACGACUUGACAAGGCGGAUAUAGUUAGCGUUAGAUCUUAAGCAGCACUGUCUGUCUCUUUCCCUUCGCCGUUUUUCAAAUUCCGCGUUGGUGGUAUUCGACUUUCGUACGAGUAAUCGUGCUGAUUUUGCUUUUACAAAGGCAUUUAAAGAGUCAAGCUACAUCUCGUAAACCAUCCAAUUCUAAUGAAGUAGACGAUAAUGUAAAUGACUCGGAACGAAACUACCCAGGGAGUCUUUCUUUCUCGUUCGCUUCUCUCGACUUCACCGAGAAAAUUAAAAUCCGUAUUUCUAUCGAACGCGAAGAGACUUAAGAAUUGAUUAAAUUACACUUGGUAAUACGGCUGCUACCGUGAUUCGAAAUUUGUCCGUUUGCCGACACGUAAUCCGUUUCGAGAGAUCGAUAAGAGAGUGAGUUACACGAGUCGCUUGUAAAUGAGUAGAGAUAUCGAUCAGGAUCUUAGAUAGUAGCGUUCGCUCAUAGCGAAGACUCAUCCGAAGACGGGAGAAAGAGAGAAAAAGUACUGAGAAGAGGAAAUACGGAUUUCUGUCGGUACAAGAGAAGGAAAUAUAUGUCUAAAGACGGCGGUAGAGAAACGCGUUCGUUUCGCAAGAAAUAUUCCUCCUAUCUGGAGAAGUAGCAGGGCUACUCUUUGUGCACGACGGUGUGGCAGCCAUAAAAUCCUUAAAAUGCAUAGCUACAAUGAAAUUGUGGGCACGAAUGUAACCCUCGGCUAAGGUUAAUCUGGCGAGAGCAUCGCGACGCCUGGCUAAUGGCACGUCCGACGGUUGCGUGCCAGCAUUUUCAGCCAAGCAGUCGUCGAGCAUCCGUCCUGCUCGGGAGGGAGCUCAGCCGACUGAGUGAUGAAGAUAUCUGUGGAAAUAUCUGACGCUUAGGAACGUGACAUUUUAACAUUCAAGAAGAUCUCAAACACUUAAUCGACGUCGUAUCACCAAAGAAAAAGUUAAAAAGGAAAGAUUUCGAAAAUGACUACGAACAGGCGUUCUCUCUAUAUCAGCUUUUACACUGACUCCCUUCGUGACAGUUACCACCGUGCCAUUCGAAGAUGCUCAUUCUACAAAGUUAUUGCCAACAGCUGUACAACUUUUUUCGAUCGUUUCGUUCGCGCUCCGAAAAUUAUCGUCUACCAGGCGAACGCUUUACGAUGAAGACGCAAGCAUAACCUUCUCUUCCGAUCGAGCGUUCUUUAUACGUCCAUAAAGGGAAAUUAAUGUUCUGGAUGGUAAUGGUAAAUGGAGUGGAAAGAAGACAAGAAAUCGUAAGAUAAACGACAUCGGGAUGUGCCGAAGGCUGGCAUCUUUUAUCGAUGAGAAACGAAAGAAGAAGGUGCAAGUGAGAGAUCAAAAUUUCAAGUUAAAUUUUGAUCUUGUGGAAAGGUCACUAUAAAGGAAACUUCACAGAUAGUUGUUUAUUUGAUCAUUUAUCUUAUAAAAAAGGAAAAAUUUAUAUAUUACCGAUGCAUAACAUGUAUAUAAAAAACUUCUUAAAUGAGAUAACGAUUUAACUAGGAUACA